CCUACGGGAGGCAGCAGUGAGGAAUAUUGGUCAAUGGCCGGGAGCCUGAACCAGCCAAGCCGCGUGAAGGACGACGGCGCCACGCGUUGUAAACUUCUUUUGUCAAGGAAUAAAAUGAGGCUCGAGAGCCUGAUCGAAUGUACUUUAUGAAUAAGCAUCGGCUAACUCCGUGCCAGCAGCCGCGGUAAUACGGAGGAUUCGAGCGUUAUCCGGAUUUAUUGGGUUUAAAGGGUGCGUAGGCGGGCUGUUAAGUCAGCUGUGAAAGUCUGCGGCUCAACCGCGGAAUUGCAAUUGAUACUGGCAGCCUUGAGAACAGGUGAGGUAGGCGGAAUGCGUGGUGUAGCGGUGAAAUGCUUAGAUAUUGCGAAGAACUCCGAUUGCGAAGGCAGCAUACUAA
Molecule: ribosomal RNA, 397 nt
Filed under: uncultured bacterium
Lineage: Bacteria
Description: partial 16S ribosomal RNA
Rfam family: Bacterial small subunit ribosomal RNA
Source: RNAcentral